CGGGCUUGAAUUGCAGACGAACGAUUCAGAGAUGAAGAGGCCCUUCGGGGCGUCUGUGAAGGUGCUGCAUGGUUGUCGUCAGCUCGUGCCGUGAGGUGUCGGCUUAAGUGCCAUAACGAGCGCAACCCCUUUUUUCAGUUGCCAUCAGGUAAUGCUGGGCACUCUGGAGAUACUGCCACCGUAAGGUGUGAGGAAGGUGGGGAUGACGUCAAAUCAGCACGGCCCUUACGUCCGGGGCUACACACGUGUUACAAUGGCCGGUACAGAGAGUUGGUUGUGUGCAAAUACGAUCUAAUCCUUAAAGCCGGUCCCAGUUCGGACUGGGGUCUGCAACCCGACCCCACGAAGCUGGAUUCGCUAGUAAUCGCGCAUCAGCCAUGGCGCGGUGAAUACGUUCCCGGGCC
Molecule: ribosomal RNA, 404 nt
Filed under: uncultured bacterium
Lineage: Bacteria
Description: bacterial SSU rRNA
Rfam family: Bacterial small subunit ribosomal RNA
Source: RNAcentral